CCUACGGGUGGCAGCAGUAGGGAAUUUUCGUCAAUGGGCGCAAGCCUGAACGAGCGAUGCCGCGUGAGUGAAGAAGGCCUUCGGGUCGUAAAGCUCUGUUGCUGGGGAAAUAAGGCAGCAUCCGUAAAUGUUUUCUGACUGAUGGUGCCCCGCCAGAAAGUCACGGCUAACGACGUGCCAGCAGCCGCGGUAAUACGUAGGUGGCGAGCGUUAUCCUGUAUGAUUUGGCGUAAAGGGUGCGCAGGUGGUCCGGCAAGUCUGGAGUGAAACGGCUGAGCGCAACACAUGCAUGGCUUUGGAAACUGGAGGACUGGAGAGCAGGAGAGGGCGGUGGAACUCCAUGUGUAGCGGUAAAAUGCGUAGAUAUAUGGAAGAACACCAGUGGCGAAGGCGGCCGCCUGGCCUGUUGCUGACGCUGAGGCACGAAAGCGUGGGGAGCAAAUAGGAUUAGAUACCCGAGUAGUC
RNAcentral lists this ribosomal RNA (465 nucleotides) under uncultured bacterium. RNAcentral's name for it is "partial 16S ribosomal RNA". It matches the Rfam family "Bacterial small subunit ribosomal RNA", at positions 338 to 795 of the family's 1533-position model. The record is from RNAcentral.